Molecule: signal recognition particle RNA, 98 nt
Filed under: Kapaibacterium sp. (SeqCode)
Lineage: Bacteria; Pseudomonadati; Bacteroidota; Eximiradiia; Eximiradiales; Kapaibacteriaceae (SeqCode)
Description: signal recognition particle sRNA small type
Rfam family: Bacterial small signal recognition particle RNA
About the family: The signal recognition particle (SRP) is a universally conserved ribonucleoprotein involved in the co-translational targeting of proteins to membranes. Archaeal SRP consists of a 7S RNA and homologues of the eukaryotic SRP19 and SRP54 proteins.
Source: RNAcentral
CUCCAAGCCCCGUACAUCUAAUUCAAGCCCAACCCUGCCAGGUCCUAGCGGAAGCAACAGUAAGUUUCGAGUUAGAGUGUACGGUAAGCUUGGUUUUU